Molecule: ribosomal RNA, 488 nt
Filed under: uncultured bacterium
Lineage: Bacteria
Description: partial 16S ribosomal RNA
Rfam family: Bacterial small subunit ribosomal RNA
Source: RNAcentral
AUUGAACGCUGGCGGCAGGCCUAACACAUGCAAGUCGAGCGGGGUUUUCGGACCUAGCGGCGGACGGGUGAGUAAUGCGUAGGAAGCUACCCGAUAGAGGGGGAUACCAGUUGGAAACGACUGUUAAUACCGCAUAAUGUCUACGGACCAAAGUGUGGGCCCUUCGGGCCACAUGCUAUCGGAUGCGCCUACGUGGGAUUAGCUAGUUGGUGAGGUAAUGGCUCACCAAGGCGACGAUCUCUAGCUGGUUUGAGAGGAUGAUCAGCCACACUGGAACUGAGACACGGUCCAGACUCCUACGGGAGGCAGCAGUGGGGAAUAUUGGACAAUGGGCGCAAGCCUGAUCCAGCCAUGCCGCGUGUGUGAAGAAGGCCUUCGGGUUGUAAAGCACUUUCAGUAGGGAGGAAGGGUUAAGUGUUAAUAGUACUUAACUUUGACGUUACCUACAGAAGAAGCACCGGCUAACUCUGUGCCAGCAGCCGCCGUAA